ACGAUAUCGUUGGGCUGUGCUGAGUGCUGCUGUGACUCGUAGAGUACUCUCGUGAAGUCGUAUAUGUUACUGGACUGCUCGUGUCUGCUGUCGGCGGGAAAAGAGAAAGAAAGGGGUUAAAAAGAGAUUAAGCCAAAGAGGAAGCCCGAGGAUAUCACGCAACGAUGUAGAGGAUGAAGACUGAAAGAAGUAGCCCUUCGGUGUCUCUCUUAUCGAAGGGGCUGCUCCACUGUGCUUGCGACGGUCAACCAAGCUUGUGGCGACCGGAUUGGCGGAGCUUUCACCGCAUACGGCUUAGGGAUAUGCAAACUGAGAGUGAGAAAGAGAGAAAGAGAGAGAGAGAGAGAAAGAGAGAGAGAAAAGAACGAGCGUCACCGAGUACAAGUAUUUCCAUACGAGAGUAUUUUCUCUUUCAAAAGCUCUGAUCGAUCGUUCGCUUAUCUUAUCCUUAACCUUAAUAUUCUAAUAUUAGAAAUUCAAUAUGAUUGAAUUGAUUAUGAACUAAUCAUUUAUGUAGUGGCACGAACAAACGAAGUGGGAGUAGUUUUUAUACGUAAGUUCAAAACGUCUAUAGCUUUUUUAAUUUUUGUUCGUGUUUAAAUAGAAAUAAUAUAAUGUGAAAUUUCUAAUGUAACAUACUAAUAUUAAUAUGCUAUACAUGAUACAACAUACAUUAACUUUUUCGGAUAUAUAUAUAUAUAUAUUGGAAAUAUAUGUAUAUAUAAUAAUUAUUCUUAAGUAUUCAUGUAGAUAUACAGAUAUAUAAAUUUCUAAUAUAUAUUUAUCUAAGCUUCUCUUUAUAGUUCCACUCUAUAUAUUUGUAUAUGAUUAAAAGAUAAACAAAAUAUAAAUGAUAUUUAAUACUCGUAAGGAUUUGGAAAUACUCUACUCGUGAAUAAAACGAAUGCGUAGUGUGAAAGUAAAUGAGUAGGCGGAAGGAUCGAUAAGCAUUGGCGUGGUAGGUGGAAAAUAAAAUAAGAAUAUUUUUUAAGUUUCUUUGGAAGACACGGACCGGUAACAGAUGUGACGACUAUUUCCUCAGUUGUUCCAGGUUCUCCCGAACCUUCCUCGCAAUCUUCUUCUUCAUCAUCGCACGAUGGUCGUUCUUGAAUAUUUUCGUUAUGUUUUGGUCUCAAAGUCGUUGGUAGCCUUGUAGGUGCCACGUAGACCGGUGUUAUCAAAUCGUCUGUAAAAAUUAUAACUAUUAGUAUUCCAUAUAUCUCGUUAUUAGUUUUAUCUUGAAGACGGUAAACGUUUAAUGAGAAUUGUUUGUUUGUGCGCGUGAAAAUGACACGUAUCCAUGUCACACAUCCGUGGUUUCCUCGAUCAUUCCGUUUCGGACACGAAUACGAGCGCAAUAUGACGUGAAAAUUAACUAUGAACGUGACGACAAUACCGAACGCACUCUCUGAUGUUGACGUUUAAACGCACGAUAUCGUUAAUGAGAAACGUCCUCGCGUUUCCAUGAUGUUGACGACAACUAACAAUCUGUGACGUGUGAAUGUCUACUUGUUUCUCCAAAUUUUACGUGUAGUUAGAUAUAUAUAUAUUUUUUGGAACAUGAAACGUGCAUAUGUAAAUAUUGUAGGCAUACGUUUACAAUUGGACCAGAUACUGACAGAUUCAAUUAUAAAAAUAAAAAAAAAUGUGCACACACACA
Molecule: long non-coding RNA, 1660 nt
Organism: Vespula vulgaris
Lineage: Eukaryota; Metazoa; Arthropoda; Insecta; Hymenoptera; Vespidae
Exons: 2
Source: RefSeq, a predicted model, not a curated record